UAAGGAAUAUUGGUCAAUGGACGGAAGUCUGAACCAGCCAUCCCGCGUGCAGGAUGAAGGUCCUAUGGAUUGUAAACUGCUUUUAGCAGAGACGAAACGCUUUCAUUUAUGGGAGUCUGACGGUAUCUGCAGAAUAAGCACCGGCUAACUCCGUGCCAGCAGCCGCGGUAAUACGGAGGGUGCGAGCGUUAUCCGGAAUCACUGGGUUUAAAGGGUGCGUAGGCGGGUUAUUAAGUCAGUGGUGAAAUCCUGUCGCUUAACGAUAGAAUUGCCAUUGAUACUGAUAGUCUUGAAUUGGGUUGAGGUUAGCGGAAUGUGACAUGUAGCGGUGAAAUGCAUAGAUAUGUCAUGGAACACCAAUUGCGAAGGCAGCUAGCUGGGCCUUGAUUGACGCUGAUGCACGAAAGCGUGGGUAGCGAACAGG
Molecule: ribosomal RNA, 424 nt
Filed under: uncultured bacterium
Lineage: Bacteria
Also listed under: 1 other name
Description: bacterial SSU rRNA
Rfam family: Bacterial small subunit ribosomal RNA
Source: RNAcentral